UACGGAGGGUGCGAGCGUUGUCCGGAAUCACUGGGCAUAAAGGGCGCGUAGGCGGCCUGAUAAGUAGGGGGUGAAAUCCUGCGGCUUAACCGCAGGGCUGCCUUCUAAACUGUCAGGCUGGAGCACAGUAGAGGCAGGUGGAAUUCCCGGUGUAGCGGUGGAAUGCGUAGAGAUCGGGAAGAACAUCAGUGGCGAAGGCGGCCUGCUGGGCUGUUGCUGACGCUGAGGCGCGACAGCGUGGGGAGCAAACAGG
Molecule: ribosomal RNA, 253 nt
Filed under: uncultured bacterium
Lineage: Bacteria
Description: partial 16S ribosomal RNA
Rfam family: Bacterial small subunit ribosomal RNA
Source: RNAcentral